AACGAACGCUGGCGGCAUGCCUAACACAUGCAAGUCGAACGAGACCUUCGGGUCUAGUGGCGCACGGGUGCGUAACGCGUGGGAACCUGCCCUUAGGUUCGGAAUAACUCCCCGAAAGGGGUGCUAAUACCGGAUAAUGUCUUCGGACCAAAGAUUUAUCGCCUUUUGAUGGGCCCGCGUUGGAUUAGCUAGUUGAUAGGGUAAUAGCCUACCAAGGCGACGAUCCAUAGCUGGUCUGAUAGGAUGAACAGCCACACUGGUAUUGAGACACGGCCCAGACUCCUACGAGAGGAAGCAGUUGAGAAUAUUGGACACUGGGCGAAGGCCUGAUCCACCUAUGCCGAGUAAGUGAUGAAGGCCUUAGGGUUGUAAAGCUCUUUUAACCGGGAUGUUAAUGACAGGACAGUAAGAAUAAGCUCCGGCAAACUCCGUG
This 433-nucleotide ribosomal RNA is filed under the name uncultured bacterium. RNAcentral describes it as "partial 16S ribosomal RNA". It matches the Rfam family "Bacterial small subunit ribosomal RNA", at positions 29 to 507 of the family's 1533-position model. The record is from RNAcentral.